RNAcentral lists this ribosomal RNA (414 nucleotides) under uncultured bacterium. RNAcentral's name for it is "bacterial SSU rRNA". It matches the Rfam family "Bacterial small subunit ribosomal RNA", at positions 358 to 772 of the family's 1533-position model. The record is from RNAcentral.
GGAAUAUUGCGCAAUGGGCGAAAGCCUGACGCAGCGACGCCGCGUGGGGGAUGAAGGUCUUCGGAUUGUAAACCCCUUUCGGGAGGGAAGAUGGGAAAGGGUAACCCAUUCGGACGGUACCUCAAGAAGCAGCCACGGCUCACUCCGUGCCAGCAGCCGCGGUAAUACUAAGGUGGCAAGCGUUGUUCGGAUUUACUGGGCGUACAGGGACCGUAGGCGGUUGGGUAAGCCCUCCGUGAAAUCUCCAGGCUUAACCUGGAAAGUGCAGAGGGGACUGCUCAGCUAGAGGAUGGGAGAGGAGCGCGGAAUUCCCGGUGUAGCGGUGAAAUGCGUAGAGAUCGGGAGGAAGGCCGGUGGCGAAGGCAGCGCUCUGGAACAUUUCUGACGCUGAGGCUCGAAAGCGUGGGGAGCAAA